Suricata suricatta (meerkat) is the source of this 1385-nucleotide long non-coding RNA. RefSeq lists it as uncharacterized. The transcript has 5 exons. The record is from RefSeq and is a predicted model, not a curated record. Lineage: Eukaryota; Metazoa; Chordata; Mammalia; Carnivora; Herpestidae.
AAAAUUGGAGACAAUCUAAAUGUUUAAAAAUAGGGAUCCAUUAAGUAAAUUAUUGGGCAAUAUUCUCAGCGCACCCGAGGCGUGCAUUAAAAAUACUGCUGUAAUGUGUGCAAGGGCGGCGGUGCAAGGACAUUCAUUGUAGGCUUAUUUGUCGUAACAAAAGGCCAAACAAGCCUCUGUUGACGGGACCACCUACAUCUGGGGCGUCUCUCUGGGGGGAGGGCGUGGCGCCGCGGAAGGAUCCCUGAGGUGCAUAUGAAAUGCGCGGGUGGGUGCUGCCAUCCGCAGAAGCGCUGCCCAGAAUGGACUUGGAGUCACAGCAUGAUUGCAGUUCGCGUGUCCUCCAAACACAGCUGCAGAAACGAUGGACACCUCCCGUUUGCCACAGGCGAUGAGCCAGCGGCGGCACAUUCCUAACUAAGACCGAGGGACACACAUGCCCAGCGCCUCCUUCCUGCCCCAUGAGGGAAGCGGCACGCGGCUGACUUCAGGGUCAGAGAGACCGAGGCCGAGCCCCCUCCGUCCCUUGUGAGCAGGGACCUCGAGUUGGCCAGCUCACCAUGGACUGUGGACAAUUCUGGCAUAAUCUCCGGUCUCGGUGUCACAGGCAGGCCCCAGAGAGGGGCUCUCUUGGGAAGGACAUCGGGCCUCCUCUUGAGCGGCUCCAUCUCUGGACACAGGCAGUGGGAAAGCCUUCCUCCCAGAGGCUCUAUGUCAAGGGCACCUUUGGUGAACGUGACCUCCAGGCUCAGCAUCCAGAAGGAGCCUGUGUGCGGGGACCCCUUCCCAGGGAGGGAGGAGUCCUCACCUGAGUGACCCUCGUCAAGGGAUGCGGUUCCCCACGUUUGAUGAAACCAGAGGACUUAACUGUGCCUGUUCCGUGCUCUCCCCCAGCGCCCCUGGGCCCCUCCACGUCUGCACACACCCCUGCAGGCUUGCCUCCCAGUGAUGAGGCCCAGGUGUGCUGGGCAAGGCUCCUUCCUUGGUGGAAACCACCAGAAACAGGCAUGGGCCGACUACAGGGGACGUGGCACUACCUGCAGGAUGGGCAGGGACAGCACCGGUCCCCAGGGCCCCAGUCCCCUACCUCCUACUGGCUGUGCUCUCAUCCUCACCCCGGGGGGCUCCUGGGGCCCUAGUGGCUCCAUGUCCUCACCAGUGGGGCAGAGGAGGGGCACAGGAUCCUGCCAGGGGGGGACCCACCUCUUCGUGGAAGAAACUUCUCACUACACUCCACCGGGCACAUUCCGCGAGGCUGAGCCCCCCUCCUCCCGUGGGCCCUGCAGGGAGGGGCGGGGGUCUGCAGAGCCGCUGGGGGUCAGGGUGCCGCUGCUGGACUCCAGUGCGGGGUCUCACAAGCGUGGUUUAUAAAUCGCAAAUGUGAA